RNAcentral lists this ribosomal RNA (484 nucleotides) under uncultured bacterium. RNAcentral describes it as "partial 16S ribosomal RNA". It matches the Rfam family "Bacterial small subunit ribosomal RNA", at positions 30 to 507 of the family's 1533-position model. The record is from RNAcentral.
AUUGAACGCUGGCGGCAGGCCUAACACAUGUAAGUCGAGCGGAUGAAGGGAGCUUGCUCCUGGAUUCAGCGGCGGACGGGUGAGUAAUGCCUAGGAAUCUGCCUGGUAGUGGGGGAUAACGUCCGGAAACGGGCGCUAAUACCGCAUACGUCCUGAGGGAGAAAGUGGGGGAUCUUCGGACCUCACGCUAUCAGAUGAGCCUAGGUCGGAUUAGCUAGUUGGUGGGGUAAAGGCCUACCAAGGCGACGAUCCGUAACUGGUCUGAGAGGAUGAUCAGUCACACUGGAACUGAGACACGGUCCAGACUCCUACGGGAGGCAGCAGUGGGGAAUAUUGGACAAAGGGCGAAAGCCUGAUCCAGCCAUGCCGCGUGUGUGAAGAAGGUCUUCGGAUUGUAAAGCACUUUAAGUUGGGAGGAAGGGCAGUAAGUUAAUACCUUGCUGCUUUGACGUUACCAACAGAAUAAGCACCGGCUAACUUCGUG